CCUGAACGACAGGGGAGCGCCGGGCUGACACCAGGGCGCUGAGAGUGCGGGACAGCCGCAGACCCUCGAACCUGAUCCGGGUGAUACCGGCGUAGGGAGUCGGGACUUCUCACCU
RNAcentral lists this non-coding RNA (115 nucleotides) under Cellulomonas sp. RNAcentral's name for it is "TPP sequence". It matches the Rfam family "TPP riboswitch aptamer (THI element)". From Rfam's summary of the family: Vitamin B(1) in its active form thiamin pyrophosphate (TPP) is an essential coenzyme that is synthesised by coupling of pyrimidine and thiazole moieties in bacteria. The previously detected thiamin-regulatory element, thi box was extended, resulting in a new, highly conserved RNA secondary structure, the THI element, which is widely distributed in eubacteria and also occurs in some archaea. The record is from RNAcentral. Lineage: Bacteria; Bacillati; Actinomycetota; Actinomycetes; Micrococcales; Cellulomonadaceae.